CCUACGGGAGGCAGCAGUGGGGAAUCUUGCGCGAUGGCCGAGAGGCUGACGCAGCGACGCCGCGUGGGGGAUGAAGCAUUUCGGUGUGUAAACCCCUGUUGCUCGGGACGAACGAUCCUUUUCGAGGGAUGUGACGGUACCGAGUGAGGAAGCACCGGCUAACUCCGUGCCAGCAGCCGCGGUAAUACGGAGGGUGCGAGCGUUGUCCGGAAUCACUGGGCGUAAAGGGCGCGUAGGUGGUUGGAUGCGCCGGUGGUGAAAGCGCAGGGCUCAACCCUGCGUCGGCCAUCGGGACGGUCCGACUGGAGCACUGUAGAGGCAGGUGGAAUUCCGGGUGUAGCGGUGGAAUGCGUAGAGAUCCGGAAGAACACCGGUGGCGAAGGCGGCCUGCUGGGCAGUUGCUGACACUGAGGCGCGACAGCGUGGGGAGCAAACAGGAUUAGAUACCCUGGUAAUCCACGCCGUAAACGAUGGGCACUAGGUGCUUGGGGGAGCGACCCCCUGAGUGCCGACGCUAACGCAUUAAGUGCCCCGCCUGGGGAGUACGACCGCAAGGUUGAAACUCAAAGGAAUUGACGG
This 579-nucleotide ribosomal RNA is filed under the name uncultured bacterium. RNAcentral's name for it is "bacterial SSU rRNA". It matches the Rfam family "Bacterial small subunit ribosomal RNA", at positions 338 to 916 of the family's 1533-position model. The record is from RNAcentral.